RNAcentral lists this ribosomal RNA (253 nucleotides) under uncultured bacterium. RNAcentral describes it as "partial 16S ribosomal RNA". It matches the Rfam family "Bacterial small subunit ribosomal RNA", at positions 524 to 776 of the family's 1533-position model. The record is from RNAcentral.
UACGUAGGGUGCAAGCGUUAAUCGGAAUUACUGGGCGUAAAGCGUGCGCAGGCGGCUCCUUAAGUCAGAUGUGAAAGCCCCGGGCUUGACCUGGGAACUGCGUUUGAAACUGGGGAGCUAGAGUGUAGAAGAGGGGGGUGGAAUUCCAGGUGUAGCAGUGAAAUGCGUAGAUAUCUGGAGGAACACCGAUGGCGAAGGCAGCCCCCUGGGCUAACACUGACGCUGAGGGGCGAAAGCGUGGGGAGCGAACGGG